RNAcentral lists this ribosomal RNA (465 nucleotides) under uncultured bacterium. RNAcentral's name for it is "partial 16S ribosomal RNA". It matches the Rfam family "Bacterial small subunit ribosomal RNA", at positions 338 to 795 of the family's 1533-position model. The record is from RNAcentral.
CCUACGGGAGGCAGCAGUGGGGAAUAUUGCGCAAUGGGCGAAAGCCUGACGCAGCGACGCCGCGUGAGGGAUGAAGGUCUUCGGAUCGUAAACCUCUGUCAGCAGGGAAGAACGGUCACUGUGCUAAUCAGCAGUGAAUUGACGGUACCUGCAAAGGAAGCACCGGCUAACUCCGUGCCAGCAGCCGCGGUAAUACGGAGGGUGCGAGCGUUAAUCAGAAUUACUGGGCGUAAAGCGCUCGUAGGCGGUAUGUCAAGUCAAGGGUGAAAUCCCCGCGCUCAACGUGGGAACUGCCUUUGAAACUGGCAAACUGGAGUGUGUGAGAGGAUAGUGGAAUUCCAGGUGUAGGAGUGAAAUGCGUAGAUAUCUGGAGGAACAUCAGUGGCGAAGGCGACUAUCUGGCACAUAACUGACGCUGAGGAGCGAAAGCGUGGGUAGCAAACAGGAUUAGAUACCCGAGUAGUC